AAACAGGAUCUCAGAGGCUGGCAACUCUUUGGGGGGGAAUAACACGCAGAAAACACUACUAUCGCUAAUAUUUUCAAGGGGGUUUGAUGUCCCAGAGCUUUCACACCUCCACACAAGAUGGCCAGCCUCGUAGGGUAGGAUGAGGAGGAGGAAGAGGAAGCUGCACUCUUCCUCCUUUCGAUAGCGCAGAGGCGAGGAGCAGAUGGUGCGAGAGAUUGGAAACAUCGUCUGGAGUCGGCCAACCCUGGGCUAAUGGCAAGCUGUGCUGGCAGCGCCGCCCAAACAGUAGCAGAAACUGAGGGCGCCGGGAUAAAACUCUCUUCUCCACAGAUCUAGUGCGGAUGCCUUGUCUAGAAUCAGUUUCAUCGAAACAAACUGGCAUUGGUCUAAAUCCACAAAAUUCCUAACACCUGGCAGGAGAUGCUGCGGGGUAAACCCAGUGUUACCUUUGGAGAAAGUACCAUCACUGAGGUAGUUUCUAUGCAACGACGAAACGUUCAGUGGGGUGGCCGGGUCAGUGCACCAGGGCCCAGAAGAAGCCCCAGUGGAUUGUGGGGGUGGGAGUGGCAGAGAACAGCCAUCUGCUGCAGGAGAACAGCUAUUUUUCAUCAAGGGAGAGAAAAGACACAAAUGAACAUCAUUGAUCACAAACCAAACUAACUUCAGCCAGAGCAAGUGGAUCUAUGAGUCCUGCAGCCAACGCUGUCAGCCUGGGUUAGAAUCUUAAUCCUCUGAAUAUAUUGCACUGAGUUACCCAAGACCCUUCGAACAAUCUACCUGCAAAGCAGACAUCUAUGCAAUAAGGGGAACCUAACAUGCUAAUUUACAACUCUAUUUUUAUUCUUGGUAAAGUAGGUUUGUAUGACUCACUGUUUAAAAUAUACCUUAUUGAUCUUAGGCGUCUUGCUGCUUAAUUCAUCUCCUGUCUUUACCCAUUUCUCUUUAAGGGCAACCUCCAUUUAAGCCAUUGGUCCUCAAACUUUGGUGCAAACCCUGCUAGUAUGGCACAGACCCACUGAAGGAGCAACAUGGAUCACCAGGAUAAAAAUAGUUUAAAAAGUUAAAAUUUAAUUAGUAGGAUUUUUUGUUGUUGUUGAAAAAAUUAUUUAAAAACAAAACAUAAAAAAUCUGAUGGUGUGUAGUGGGGUGAAUAUUUUUUCCCUAUUUAAUGUGAGAACCACUGCUUUAGCCUUAUAUACUGUAGCCUUAUAUAUCUUAGUAAAAAGGGAGAUUUAUGUAAUAAAAACAGUAUCACCUGAAGUAAUUCAACACAGUAUGGAGUUAAACUAAAGUCAAACAGCAGAAACCUUGACCUAUCAAACACAGACGUACUUAAUACUGCUUUACAGCAGCUGCUGGAACAGCACUGCAGUUCUUGUUACACCUUUGUCUCACCUGCCUCUGCUUUUUUGUUUUUUUAACCUCAAGCCGGCACUGCUUUUCAAACACAGCAGGAAAAUAGUUCUUGUACCUAAUAAUAUUAUUUAAUAAAACUCAAUUUGGCUUCUACCUACUUAUGUGAUUCAUAUAAAACUGAGUCUGCCUCUUACCUUGAGU
This 1557-nucleotide long non-coding RNA is filed under the name Oreochromis niloticus (Nile tilapia). RNAcentral's name for it is "lncRNA (ENSONIG00000040117.1)". The record is from RNAcentral. Lineage: Eukaryota; Metazoa; Chordata; Actinopteri; Cichliformes; Cichlidae.